GGAACUUCCUGUAGAGGGGGUGUCAGUUUAACAGGAACUUCCUGUAGGGGGGGGUGUCAGUUUAACAUGAACUUCCUUUAGAGGGGGUGUCAGUUUAACAUGAACUUCCUGUAGAGGGGGUGUCAGUUCAACAGGAACUUCCUGAGGCCUGUAGAGGGGGUGUCAGUUCAACAGCACGUCACCAAGUGUCCUCUCGCUGAGGGGAACAAGCUUUAU
This is a long non-coding RNA of Clupea harengus (Atlantic herring), 216 nucleotides long. RefSeq lists it as uncharacterized. The record is from RefSeq and is a predicted model, not a curated record. Lineage: Eukaryota; Metazoa; Chordata; Actinopteri; Clupeiformes; Clupeidae. The transcript is spliced from 2 exons.